GACGAACGCUGGCGGCGUGCUUAACACAUGCAAGUCGAACGGAAAGGCCCUGCUUGCAGGGUGCUCGAGUGGCGAACGGGUGAGUAACACGUGGGUGAUCUGCCCCUUACUUUGGGAUAAGCCUGGGAAACUGGGUCUAAUACUGGAUAGGACCAUGCUGUAGGUGGUGUGGUGGAAAGAUUAGUUUCGGUAAGGGAUGAGCUCGCGGCCUAUCAGCUUGUUGGUGGGGUAAUGGCCUACCAAGGCGUCGACGGGUAGCCGGCCUGAGAGGGUGGACGGCCACGUUGGGACUGAGAUACGGCCCAGCCUCCUACGGGAGGCAGCAGUGGGGAAUAGUGCACAAUGGGCGCAAGCCUGAUGCAGCGACGCCGCGUGGGGGAUGACGGCCUUCGGGUUGUAAACUCCUUUCGGCCAUGACGAAGCGCUUGUGGUGACGGUAGUGGUAGAAGAAGCACCGGCUAACUACGUG
RNAcentral lists this ribosomal RNA (469 nucleotides) under uncultured bacterium. Its description in RNAcentral is "partial 16S ribosomal RNA". It matches the Rfam family "Bacterial small subunit ribosomal RNA", at positions 28 to 507 of the family's 1533-position model. The record is from RNAcentral.